GUAGCCUACGCAAUAGUAGACUAUGUCCCAGACAGCAAACGGACUACGAAACGCAUCCGCCGCGGAGGUACGGUGAACUCCGGAACGGAUCCAGAAAUCGGAUCCGAAACUGUGUC
Alosa sapidissima (American shad) is the source of this 116-nucleotide long non-coding RNA. RefSeq lists it as uncharacterized. The transcript has 4 exons. Lineage: Eukaryota; Metazoa; Chordata; Actinopteri; Clupeiformes; Clupeidae. The record is from RefSeq and is a predicted model, not a curated record.